AUGACGCAAAAUGAUCGUACACUGAAACUGAAGCCUUUGGAAAUUGAAACACAAACCUUACUUAAGAGCAGGCAAAGGUGCAGAGCCAACGGCAUGCUCUUGGAUCAAUAUUCUACAGGUGAUGUUGUUGCCUGCUCUUCUAAACUGCCGCUUGUUUAUCAUUUGCUGUUUUGCUUAUCAAGGAGGGUAACUACUGGAAGCAGUUGGCAAGGCAAGCAUUCAAUGGAUCUCAAAGCGUUGAUCCUGAAGGAAGGUAACUACUCAAAGGUGAACCAACCCCUUGGACUGCUGCGAAAAACACCAUCAGAUUUCAAAGUAGCCCGGUCUAAUUCAAAAAUUUCCACUAACGCAAGAGGGAUUCCUGCGACUAACGCUAGAGCAAAGGGAAAGGACAAUGAAGCAGCAAUAAACAGAUUGAAGAGCUAUUAG
RNAcentral lists this ribosomal RNA (429 nucleotides) under Triticum aestivum (bread wheat). RNAcentral's name for it is "partial small subunit ribosomal RNA". The record is from RNAcentral. Lineage: Eukaryota; Viridiplantae; Streptophyta; Magnoliopsida; Poales; Poaceae.